GGAUUGCCCCAGUAACGGCGAGUGAAGCGGCAAGAGCUCAAAUUUGAAAGCUGGCUCCUUCGGGGUCCGCAUUGUAAUUUGCAGAGGAUGCUUCGGGAGCGGUCCCCAUCUAAGUGCCCUGGAACGGGACGUCAUAGAGGGUGAGAAUCCCGUAUGGGAUGGGGUGUCCGCGCCCGUGUGAAGCUCCUUCGACGAGUCGAGUUGUUUGGGAAUGCAGCUCUAAAUGGGUGGUAAAUUUCAUCUAAAGCUAAAUAUUGGCCGGAGACCGAUAGCGCACAAGUAGAGUGAUCGAAAGAUGAAAAGCACUUUGAAAAGAGAGUUAAAAAGCACGUGAAAUUGUUGAAAGGGAAGCGCUUGCGACCAGACUCGCUCGCGGGGUUCAGCCGGCAUUCGUGCCGGUGUACUUCCCCGCGAGCGGGCCAGCGUCGGUUUGGGCGGUCGGUCAAAGGCCUCUGGAAGGUAACGCCCCCUCGGGGGCGUCUUAUAGCCAGGGGUGCAAUGCGGCCUGCCCGGACCGAGGAACGCGCUUCGGCUCGGACGCUGGCAUAAUGGUCGUAAGCGACCCGUCUUGAAACACGGACCAAGGAGUCUAACAUCUACGCGAGUGUUCGGGUGUCAAACCCGUGCGCGAAGUGAAAGCGAACGGAGGUGGGAACCCGCAAGGGUGCACCAUCGACCGAUCCUGAAGUCUUCGGAUGGAUUUGAGUAAGACCGUAACUUUUGGGAACCCGAAAAGAUGGUGAACUAUGCCUGAAUAAGGGCGAACCCAGAGGAAAAUCUU
RNAcentral lists this ribosomal RNA (781 nucleotides) under Penicillium sp. RNAcentral's name for it is "partial large subunit ribosomal RNA". It matches the Rfam family "Eukaryotic large subunit ribosomal RNA", at positions 72 to 866 of the family's 3401-position model. Lineage: Eukaryota; Fungi; Ascomycota; Eurotiomycetes; Eurotiales; Aspergillaceae. The record is from RNAcentral.